GGAAUCUUGGACAAUGGGCGCAAGCCUGAUCCAGCCAUGCCGCGUGAGUGAAGAAGGCCUUAGGGUUGUAAAACUCUUUCGCCGGUGAAGAUAAUGACGGUAUCCGGAGAAGAAGCCCCGGCUAACUUCGUGCCAGCAGCCGCGGUAAUACGAAGGGGGCUAGCGUUGUUCGUAAUUACUGGGCGUAAAGUGCACGUAGGCAGAUUUGUAAGUAGGGGGUGAAAUCCCCAGGCUCAACCUGGGAACUGCCUUCUAGACUGCAAGUCUGGAGAUCAGGAGAGGCGAGUGGAAGACCGAGUGUAGAGGUGAAAUUCGUAGAUAUUCGGUGGAACACCAGUGGCGGAGGCGACUCGCUGGACUGAUACUGACGCUGAGGUGCGAAAGCGUGGGGAGCAAAC
RNAcentral lists this ribosomal RNA (398 nucleotides) under uncultured bacterium. Its description in RNAcentral is "bacterial SSU rRNA". It matches the Rfam family "Bacterial small subunit ribosomal RNA", at positions 358 to 773 of the family's 1533-position model. The record is from RNAcentral.